Molecule: long non-coding RNA, 2796 nt
Organism: Hemicordylus capensis (graceful crag lizard)
Lineage: Eukaryota; Metazoa; Chordata; Lepidosauria; Squamata; Cordylidae
Exons: 2
Source: RefSeq, a predicted model, not a curated record
UUUAAAAUCUUGUCUUUGGGCCCACUCCAACCUUGCUACACCCCUGGUCACCUAGCAAUUAUCAUGGCUGAAUGGGGAUUUGAACAACUUUUGCCUGUAUUAUAAACUGCUUAGUUAUUUCAAGAGUCUUUUAAUUUCUUUGAUAAUUGAACUAGAAUGUAUUUAAAGUCAUACUACUAUGCUUGGCUAGUUAAGAAACAUUGUUAGAAUGGACCAAAACGUACAGAGCAUUCAGAAUAAUUUGAAUCUGGCCUAUUUAUGUCUGAGCAGAACACAAUCAGAAAGCCUAUUAUGAAAAAGCCUAUUGGUUAGAGAAAUAAUCAUUCUGCAUGAUUGUCUAUAUUCCAAAUGGCCUAGAUACUCAUUGGGCAACAUCCAGUCUAGUUAGUCAUGACUAAGCACCACUGAACUCAGUGAGAUAAGUUAGUCAUGACUAACUUAAGCCAUUUCAGGGGGACAUAGUUACAACCUACUUAGUCUGGAUGCUGCCUCUUCUUUAUUCUGUGUAGGAUAUUAAAAAAAAAUGGUUGACAUGUUAAAGAUCUUAAUCUAUUAACUUUCAGCAAGAUUGUUUUACAUUCAUUUUAGCGGUACCAUACCUCAUUCAUUGUGCUAGCCCUAUGGAUCUUUUGUGUCUCCCGGCCCUCAAAAGUAUUGAGGGGGGAGUUCAUUCUUCCUGCAAUUAGUAUUCAUGGUUCGCUAAGCAGAACUAAUGCAACAAAUCUUACUUGUUUUUUCAUUGGAGGUUAUGUUACCUGUUUUCCAGCAUGGCCUGGGGAAAGAUUUCCUUCUGAAGAAGGUAUUUUUGAGUAUCUAUUGCCUUAUUGUGGAUUUAAUUCUUCCCGCUGAGGAUUUCAGAUCUUUCCCCAUCUUAAUUUAGCACCUACUGAGAGAAAUCAAUUCUACAUACUAGAUUUGAGGGACAAGAAAGAAGAAAUAGAGUAUAAUUUGCCUCAUCUUUUAAAGAUCAAAACAUUUUUGAAGAGGAUUAGAGUUUUAAAAGGACUAUUUUUGCUGUGUUAUGAUCCUUGCUUCAUCUUGUUUAAAUCAGGAAAAGCUGAAGUUUAUCAGACUGUUCCCCAGUGAUUAUGCCUGUAUAUUGUGAACUGUGAUGAACUGGCCUAAAUCCAAAUCUACACGUGUGGGAGAUGUACUGUAGACCCCCCCACUGAAGACUUUGAGUAGUGCUAGUCAGCUGUUUGAUUGGGGGGCAGGGCGGAAGGAGGAUGACUAAAUCCCACCCCACUACCCAUCCCACGCAACUAAUCAUCAGCACUAUUGAGUCUCUUUUCCUGGGGCUAUGCAAGCACAGCCCCAUCUGGUGGAUUGGGCUGGGGGAAAUCAUGGGUUUAACACCUAUUUGUGUCCAUAGUUCUGCUUAUAACUAGAGAUAGAUGCACAGAUGCUGAGAAACUGUGAGAGAAAGAGUUUCUAAGAUGGUAUAGAUGGCUGAAAUGAUUUUUGUGACCACAGUGGAAGGACAGCAGACAUACACAGGUGGUGCAAAAGCAACCUGCAGCUUCAUUACAAUUGACCCACUAGUUUAGCAAGCUUGGAAACAAUUCUUUUAGCUCUACAAAAAUGCUUCUGGUAUUGAGCAAAAAUGGCUACUUUUUAAACAUCAAAGAGAUGAACACUGAAUUAGUAAAUCUUUGUAGAUAUGUUGAAAGUACAACCUGGCAGUUGUUUUUAUUUCAUUCUAUACGGAAACCAUAUAGGACAAGCAAGAACAAAAUUUAACCAAAUGAAGAUCUUCCUCUGCAAGAGUAAACUCGAUUUGAAACUCAGAAUCAGAAUGAUGAAAUGCUACAUCUGGUCUCUUCUCCUGUAUGGAUGUGAAACCUGGACAAUCAAGAAAAAGCACAUAAAAAAACUGGAAGCCUUUGAGAUGUGGUGUCUCAGAAUAAUACUCAAGAUUAAAUGGACCAACAGAAAAACAAAUGGAGUACUUAGAAAAGCAAAAACACAUAAACAAAUAAUGCAGAAUCAAGAGACGUCAACUGGAGCAUUGUGGAUAUAUCCUCAGAGGAGUAAAAUAUCAAAUACCACAACUAACACUAGAAGGAAAGCUAGCAGGAAAUAGAUCAAGAGGAAGAAGGAGGAAUUGAUGAAUGGAUGGAAUGGCUAGAAAUGGACACAGAAGAUAUCAUCCACAAUUCUAGGAACCAUGGUCUAUGGGUUUUGCUGGCUGAUAAUCUCUCAAUCAGAAAAGGCACAUGAAGAGAGAGAUAUGGAAAUAUCUCAUAGAUUUCAGGGGAAAUGAGAUUUCUUUAUUAACAUGCUUUUUCUUAGAGCCAUGUUUUGGGGAAGUACAAAAAUCCAGGCCAAGCUGACUGAAAUACAACCACUGGUGCAUUUUGUACAAAAGUAAUUUGUGCCAUAGUGUUAUUGACUGAUGGUUUGGAGGCAGAGCAGAUAGCCCUGACCAUGGAUCAGGCCCAAGGACCAUCUAGUCCAGCAUUAUGUUUCACACAGUGGCCCACCAGGUGCCACUGGGAAGCCCACAGGCUGAGGACAAAUUGCUGAGGGAGCAAUUGCUUUAGGGGAGCAGGUAAAAUUCAGUUUGUUCCUUGUUAUCUUAUCCCUGAUGAGCUACUAGCUGAAAUUAAGACUGUAUUUUAUGAAUUAAGACCAUACAAAUUUAAUUUUAUGGUUAAAAUUUUAAUUUAAAUAUUUUAAUAUUUUAAUGUUAUUUUAUGAAAUUUUAUUGUAUUAACUUUUGUAAACCACCUUGAGAUGAGUUUUAUGAAAGGCAGUAUAUAAGUAGAACAAUAAACAAAACAAAAUAUCACCUGA